GGGUUGUGAGGUUAAGCGACUAAGCGUACACGGUGGAUGCCCUGGCAGUCAGAGGCGAUGAAGGGCGUGCUAAUCUGCGAUAAGCGCCGGUAAGGUGAUAUGAACCGUUAUAACCGGCGAUACCCGAAUGGGGAAACCCAGUGUGAUUCGUCACACUAUCAUUAACUGAAUCCAUAGGUUAAUGAGGCGAACCGGGGGAACUGAAACAUCUAAGUACCCCGAGGAAAAGAAAUCAACCGAGAUUCCCCCAGUAGCGGCGAGCGAACGGGGAGGAGCCCAGAGCCUGAAUCAGCAUGUGUGUUAGUGGAAGCGUCUGGAAAGGCGCGCGAUACAGGGUGACAGCCCCGUACACAAAAGCGCAUGUGCUGUGAGCUCGAUGAGUAGGGCGGGACACGUGGUAUCCUGUCUGAAUAUGGGGGGACCAUCCUCCAAGGCUAAAUACUCCUGACUGACCGAUAGUGAACCAGUACCGUGAGGGAAAGGCGAAAAGAACCCCGGGAGGGGAGUGAAAAAGAACCUGAAACCGUGUACGUACAAGCAGUGGGAGCCCCACCACCAAAGCAUUCUCUGGUGUUGAAGGCCCUGCAAAGCAGCAUCGCGGUGGCGGAGCGUCGUUUGCGACGCCCAACACACAAAACAAGCGGUGAAUGCUUUGGGGUGGGGUGACUGCGUACCU
RNAcentral lists this ribosomal RNA (676 nucleotides) under Salmonella enterica subsp. enterica serovar Typhimurium var. 5-. RNAcentral's name for it is "bacterial LSU rRNA". It matches the Rfam family "Bacterial large subunit ribosomal RNA", at positions 1 to 606 of the family's 2925-position model. The record is from RNAcentral. Lineage: Bacteria; Pseudomonadati; Pseudomonadota; Gammaproteobacteria; Enterobacterales; Enterobacteriaceae.